GACGAACGCUGGCGGCGUGCCUAAUACAUGCAAGUCGAACGCACUCUCGUUUAGAUUGAAGGAGCUUGCUCCUGAUUGAUAAACAUUUGAGUGAGUGGCGGACGGGUGAGUAACACGUGGGUAACCUGCCCUAAAGUGGGGGAUAACAUUUGGAAACAGAUGCUAAUACCGCAUAAAGCCUAACACCGCAUGGUGUAGGGUUGAAAGAUGGUUUCGGCUAUCACUUUAGGAUGGACCCGCGGUGCAUUAGUUAGUUGGUGAGGUAAAGGCUCACCAAGACCGUGAUGCAUAGCCGACCUGAGAGGGUAAUCGGCCACACUGGGACUGAGACACGGCCCAGACUCCUACGGGAGGCAGCAGUAGGGAAUCUUCCACAAUGGACGAAAGUCUGAUGGAGCAACGCCGCGUGAGUGAAGAAGGUUUUCGGAUCGUAAAACUCUAGUUGUUGGAGAAGAAUGUAUCUGAUAGUAACUGAUCAGUAGUGACGGUAUCCAACCAGAAAGACC
RNAcentral lists this ribosomal RNA (506 nucleotides) under uncultured bacterium. Its description in RNAcentral is "bacterial SSU rRNA". It matches the Rfam family "Bacterial small subunit ribosomal RNA", at positions 28 to 493 of the family's 1533-position model. The record is from RNAcentral.